This 490-nucleotide ribosomal RNA is filed under the name uncultured bacterium. RNAcentral describes it as "partial 16S ribosomal RNA". It matches the Rfam family "Bacterial small subunit ribosomal RNA", at positions 30 to 507 of the family's 1533-position model. The record is from RNAcentral.
AUUGAACGCUGGCGGCAGGCCUAACACAUGCAAGUCGAACGGUAACAGGAAGAAGCUUGCUUCUUUGCUGACGAGUGGCGGACGGGUGAGUAAUGUCUGUGAAACUGCCUGAUGGAGGGGGAUAACUACUGGAAACGGUAGCUAAUACCGCAUAACGUCGCAAGACCAAAGAGGGGGACCUUCGGGCCUCUUGCCAUCGGAUGUGCCCAGAUGGGAUUAGCUAGUAGGUGGGGUAACGGCUCACCUAGGCGACGAUCCCUAGCUGGUCUGAGAGGAUGACCAGCCACACUGGAACUGAGACACGGUCCAGACUCCUACGGGAGGCAGCAGUGGGGAAUAUUGCACAAUGGGCGCAAGCCUGAUGCAGCCAUGCCGCGUGUAUGAAGAAGGCCUUCGGGUUGUAAAGUACUUUCAGCGGGGAGGAAGGGAGUAAAGUUAAUACCCUUGCUCAUUGACGUUACCCGCAGAAGAAGCACCGGCUAACUCCGUG